GUAAGCUGAUGAAAUCAAAAGGAUUUUAAUAAAAAAUAGAAUAUAAAUUGAUGUAAUAAGUUGCUAUUACUGGAAGAGAAGUGAAAAGUCAUGCUGAGAUUGAGAGAGUAAACAGAGAAAAAACAGAAAUGUUUGGGUCAAACAGACUUACAAUUAUAAUCCUAGGGUCUUCCACUUCCACUUUCUCUUUCUUCUUUAGACUUCUCACACAGAACAAAGUCUUAUCUCACACAGAACAGCAGAUUUCUUAAUGAGCUCAGUGAGACCAGUGCCACUCAAUAUACAGUCUCCCAGUUGGGAGAACCUGUUACUAACAUCAUAUAAUACCAUAGGCUUCCUUAUUCAAACCCCAUUUCCUUCUAGCUCCCACACCUUUAUCCUCCACAAAAGAUUAUGUGCCCCCAAAUUCUAGAAGAGAGAGACUCUAACUACUAGUUCCCACAGAAAGCGUGUCACUGACUCCAACAUCACAAUGCACCAGACUUCAUCAAACCCUGCCCCACCCCAACACUGUGUGCAGGGAACAGUACCAACACUACUAAGAACCUUAAAAUCCCCACAUGAAGGUGCUACAUGCUGGGAGACCCACAGACUCUGGCACUUCGUGUGAGGGAAACCCGGACCACACAUCCAGAACAUGCAGCCUAGAGUCAGACUCCAGACCCGCUCUCAGCCACUAGGCGUUGUCACUGGGUGUGCGAGAUGUGAAGGGGCAAACAGGUGGGGAAGCCAAACCUGAGAGUACACCCAGGCUCCUCCCCCACUCCCUCUGGCCUCGGUGUGGAGAAGCUGAGUAAACUGGACCUCCAUGGGGUCAGGAGACCGCACGGACACGUGUCUGGAUCCGAUCAGCCGCAUCUUUCUGCGUCAAACCCAUAUUUCUGUGAGCUGUGUGUUCUCUAUGCUUGGGUUGGGAGAUGCGGCCACAGCAUUUUGGCGGGAAAGCACGCGAGGCCGCUCAGGCACCUGGGGAGAGGCGGAGGAGGGGCUAGAGGCGGGACCAGUGUGCAUGAGGUGCGCGUGCACGCUGGCGAGGGGCCUGGCCCGCCCAAGAACAAACAUACAGUUCCCGCCUCGGCUCCACAGGUGCCUUGCUUUAGCUCCAAAGCUCCUCCACUUUCUUCCUAGGCUUCGUGUCUCCUCCCCACUAGAGCUGUGCACGGUGCAUUGCGUCCGGCCUUCGGACACGGCCUUCGGACACGGCACGAGGGGAGCUUCAGAAAGAGUGAGGCAGGAGAAAAUGCAACUGCUGUCUACCAUUCUGACAUGUACAAGGGUGUAGCUGGAUUGUCAGAGCAAGCACCAAAGUUCUGAGGAUCCCUGAAGAGUCAUCCAUAGACUUCCUGUCUCUGGGACCACAGCAGUACAAUAAUCCACUAGGUUUUGUUUUUACAAGAGAACACACCGAUAUCCUGACCCUGGACUGGCUCCUACAAUCGAAGGGAAACAAUACAAUAAAAGACAUCAUUUGGUCA
RNAcentral lists this long non-coding RNA (1475 nucleotides) under Oryctolagus cuniculus (rabbit). Its description in RNAcentral is "lncRNA (ENSOCUG00000034734.1)". Lineage: Eukaryota; Metazoa; Chordata; Mammalia; Lagomorpha; Leporidae. The record is from RNAcentral.